Molecule: small RNA, 66 nt
Organism: Virgibacillus necropolis
Lineage: Bacteria; Bacillati; Bacillota; Bacilli; Caryophanales; Bacillaceae
Rfam family: Bacillaceae-1 RNA
Source: Rfam
AAAGAAGGAGGUUCGGUUAAAACCGCUACUUUGCGUAGCAACACCGAACUACCCACGUUGCGUGGG